RNAcentral lists this transfer RNA (73 nucleotides) under Agrilus planipennis (emerald ash borer). It matches the Rfam family "tRNA". From Rfam's summary of the family: Transfer RNA (tRNA) molecules are approximately 80 nucleotides in length. Lineage: Eukaryota; Metazoa; Arthropoda; Insecta; Coleoptera; Buprestidae. The record is from Rfam by way of RNAcentral.
GCUCUCGUAGCUUAAUGGUCAGAACAUUGACACCUAAAGCCAAAGGUCCCGGGUUCAAUCCCCGGCGAGGGUG